UACAGAGGGUGCGAGCGUUAAUCGGAAUUACUGGGCGUAAAGGGCGCGUAGGCGGUUAUUUAAGUGAGAUGUGAAAGACCUGGGCUUAACCUGGGAAGGUCAUCUUAGACUGGGUAACUGGAGUGCGGUAGAGGGUAGAGGAAUUUCCGGUGUAGCGGUGAAAUGCGUAGAUAUCGGAAGGAACACCAGUGGCGAAGGCGUUUACCUGGGCCGACACUGACGCUGAGGCGCGAGAGCGUGGGUAGCAAACAGG
Molecule: ribosomal RNA, 253 nt
Filed under: uncultured bacterium
Lineage: Bacteria
Description: partial 16S ribosomal RNA
Rfam family: Bacterial small subunit ribosomal RNA
Source: RNAcentral